AGACUGUGUCUAUUCUAGGAAGGCUGACACAUGAUGAGAAGAGUCAGUGGUCCUGAGGUACAGUACUUAAGAUAACCCUGUGAAGGCUGAGAUUGAUAUUUGAAAUUCACAACUGAUCUUGGAGCCUGGUACAGCAGUCAUGGAGCCAUAUUGGAUUGUGAAAGGAACUCAGUUGACCUGGCCUAUUGCAGAUUUAUUCUGAGAAUUUCAAUUCAGUCUUUGCUGCUGUUUGGAAAUCUUUCAUGAAUCUUUUAAUAACUUCCUUACAUACAUCUUGUUCCAUUAAAGCCCCAAAUUUGGCUUUGUCAGCUCUCUUUCUUCAUAAUCUUUAGGAUUUGUUCAUGUGUGGAUGUGAUGGAACUGAAGUCGCUAGGUUCAUGCUACCUGGAACAUGAGACUGACAAAUAGAGGAGCACUGAGUCAAAUGAAUCUCGGAGAAAUGGAGCUGGAAGAAAACUGGAGAAUGAAAGAAAAGAUAUACGCAAAGUGGAUUCUAAUCAUAGAGUUUCAUUCUUGUUGCCCAGGCUGGAGUGCAAUGGUGUGAUCUUGGCUCACCGCAACCUUGACCUCCUAGGUUCAAGUGAUUCUCCUGUCUCAGUCUCCUGAGUAGCUAGUAUUACAGGCAUGCACCACUAUGCCCGGCUAAUUUUGUAUUUUUAGUUGAGAUGGGGUUUCUCCAUGUUGGUCAGGCUGGUCUCGAACUCCCGACCUCAGGUGAUCCACCUGCUUCAGCCUCCCAAAGUGCUGGGAUUACAGGUGUGAGCAGCCGUGCCCUGCUGAAACUUAUUUGUUUGAGCAAUAAAAGCCACAUAUUUCCUCUUUUGAUAAAGUGUAAAAUUAUAGUACUCUUCCAAGAUACUCAUGGAUUGAUAACAAAAAACUAACAACUGGAUAUUGUUUUAAAUAUUGAAGAAAAGCAAACAAAUCAACAUCAGCCAUAACAUUGCUUCAUAUGCCAAAACCAGGAUGAAAUAAUGCUUUUAUAGAAGAUGUGACCUGGGAUCAAAUAGCAUCAUUUACCAAAUGCAAAGGAUUGGUGUAGCUCUUGACUUCAAGGCAUAUUAAAUCUAGCAAAGCUAAGAUUCAAUAUAGAUGUAGGUCCAAUUUCAUGACAAAAAAUCAAAGAAACCAACCAAAAUCAGAGAACUUAGUAAGUUUGUGGGUAUGCAAUCUACAGAAGUGAAUUAUAUAUAUAUGAUAAAAGAGAAGAAAAGACUCUAUUUACAAUUCAACAAAAAAGAUAAAACGCUUAGGAAUAAGUAUGAGAGAUGGGCAUGAUUUAUAUAAAGAACAUUUUAAGAUGCUACCAAAAAACACAAAAUAAAAUGAAUAAAUGGGAAAGCAUAUAAUUUCUUAGAUAGGAAAAGUCAACAUCACAAAAAUUUAAUUCAAUAAAAAUAGCAACAGCAUUUUUAUUUUGUAAUCAGAGACAAGCUAAUACUAAAGUUCAAAUGAAAAAAUAAAAAACAAAAAUAGUCAAGAAAAA
This 1486-nucleotide long non-coding RNA is filed under the name Homo sapiens (human). RNAcentral's name for it is "HSALNT0348009". The record is from RNAcentral. Lineage: Eukaryota; Metazoa; Chordata; Mammalia; Primates; Hominidae.